AUGCCGUGGACUGUAAUAGGGGACUUUAAUGAAAUUCUCUUUUCUUCGGAGAAGGAAGGAAGGGCUCCACGACACCAGUCAAGGCUUCAGGCGUUCCAAAACACACUCUCGGAUUGCUUAUUGGAGGAUAUAGGAUUUACAGCUGACAAAUUCACCUGGUUUCGUGGAGAUCUAAAGGAGCGGCUUGACAGAGCUGUAGCAAAUUCUGAAUGGAUGGCUAUGCACCCGUUGGUUGGUCUAAACAAUUUAGAGAUGGGUAAAUCUGAUCACCGCCCAAUCUGUUUGGACAUGAAAUAUCUCUCGGGGGUUGCGGAGAGCAGGUCUAAAUAUGGUCAUAAAUUUGAAGCAAGAUGGUUAGAAGAAGAAAGAGUGGAGGAAAUAGUAAAAACUGCUUGGAUGAAAGCUGUCCAUCAAGGCUUGUGUCCAUCGGCUAGAGAAAAACUCGAGUCUGUCCAUAAGGACCUUCACGCUUGGGACAGGCAGGUUCUUAAGGGGCCUCGGACCCGUCUUAAGAAGGCACACAGGGAGCUUGAAAAUCUGAUGCGUGCUCCAUACACUGAUGAAGUAAAGAUGAAACAAAAGGAACUCUCGGUUCUUAUUGAAAAUUUGCUUGAUCAAGAUGAAGUUUACUAG
RNAcentral lists this ribosomal RNA (633 nucleotides) under Triticum aestivum (bread wheat). Its description in RNAcentral is "partial small subunit ribosomal RNA". Lineage: Eukaryota; Viridiplantae; Streptophyta; Magnoliopsida; Poales; Poaceae. The record is from RNAcentral.